AUGCGCAUGAGGGGUCAUUCCGCUGAUGACUUUGAUUACGACCCGCGGUAUGAGCCUUACAUUUGGAGAUUGGGUCUUCUCCCAUUCGUGUUGCAGUUUAAGCGACACGCUCCGUCGGUGAACCACGUGGCGCUGACCGCACUUGUGGAUCGUUGGAGGCUGGAGACUCACUCGUUCCACCUUCCAUGUGGGGAGAUGACGAUGACCCUACAUGACAUGGCUAUGAUAAGCGGCCUUCCUAUCAACGGACAAGCUGUUACCGGUCGUGUCAGCGUGGGUAAUUGGCGAGAACGGACUGCCGAUUUAAUUGGCGUUCAGCCCGAGGACCCUCAGGAAGGCAAGGCCGAUACCGCGAAAGUGAGGCAUUCUUGGCUAAAACUGGUCAGAGGAAACACCAAUCCGUGCCCUCGGGAUGCCAAUGACGUGGUUGUGCAGCAGUACGCGCGGGCCUAUCUUUGGUAUGUACUAACCAAGUUAGUCUUCUCAGAUGCAACCGGGAACUCAGCCCUCUGGAUGUUCCUGGAGCUACUCAAUAACUGGGAUACCCAGUAUAGCUGGGGUUCGGCCGCACAAGCAUAUUUGUAUCGUCAGCUUGACUUGGCGUGUCAGAGAAAGGGAGAUACAUCCUCAUUGUCUGGGUUUGUUUGGAGCCUAUCCGUGUGGAUGUGGGAGCGGAUCCCGGUUGGACGGCCCGAUUUCAAGAACCCCCUCAUGGCAAACCCACGGGGUAAUCAUGACUGGUUGCAUGAUGAUGAUCCAUAUCGGCGCCCUACGCUUGCUUACUAUUGGGAACAAGUGACAGUCUACACAGGAAGCUCGCAUGUGCGAUACAAGUGCUAUAUGAACGAGCUGGACACCUUGACUGCUGAGCAGGUAUAUUGGUUGCCUUAUGUGGAAGAUUGUGACUUUGAUCUUAAUGAGAUGUGCACGCGUGAUAGCCAUCUUUGGCAGGCGAGGUGCCCAAUGAUAUGCUUCUUCGCAGUCGAGUGGCACUUUGUAGACCGUGUGGCAAGACAAUUUGGAAGAAGACAAGGUAUUCCAAUUGAGGAGAGCAAGGAGGAAAUGCUAUCUCUGCAUCGGUUCGAUCGAAGGAACAGUCAGGAUAUAUCGGAUUGGGCAAACAAACACUAUGCAUGGAUAGAAAUUUGGAAUCAAAGAGACACGCUAGUGCAAUCAGAGAAUAGACCUCACAAUCAGUUAGCAUAUUAG
This 1209-nucleotide ribosomal RNA is filed under the name Triticum aestivum (bread wheat). Its description in RNAcentral is "partial small subunit ribosomal RNA". The record is from RNAcentral. Lineage: Eukaryota; Viridiplantae; Streptophyta; Magnoliopsida; Poales; Poaceae.